AUACGGAGGAUGCGAGCGUUAUCCGGAUUUAUUGGGUUUAAAGGGUGCGUAGGCGGAUUGAUAAGUCAGUGGUGAAAACCUGCAGCUUAACUGUAGACUUGCCGUUGAUACUGUCAGUCUUGAGUGUGGUCAAGGUAGGCGGAAUGUGUAAUGUAGCGGUGAAAUGCUUAGAUAUUACACAGAACACCGAUUGCGAAGGCAGCUUACUGGGCCAUUACUGACGCUGAUGCACGAAAGCGUGGGGAUCGAACAGGAUUAGAUACCCUGGUAGUCCACGCCGUAAACGAUGAUCACUCGCUGUUAGCGAUACACAGUUAGCGGCUAAGCAAAAGCAUUAAGUGAUCCACCUGGGGAGUACGGCCGCAAGGCUGAA
RNAcentral lists this ribosomal RNA (373 nucleotides) under uncultured bacterium. RNAcentral's name for it is "bacterial SSU rRNA". It matches the Rfam family "Bacterial small subunit ribosomal RNA", at positions 523 to 898 of the family's 1533-position model. The record is from RNAcentral.